ACAAACUCCGAAUGCCAAUUAAUUUAACUUGGGAGUCAGAACAUGGGUGAUAAGGUCCGUGUUCGAAAGGGAAACAGCCCAGACCACCAGCUAAGGUCCCAAAAUAUAUGUUAAGUGGAAAAGGAUGUGGCGUUGCCCAGACAACUAGGAUGUUGGCUUAGAAGCAGCCAUCAUUUAAAGAGUGCGUAAUAGCUCACUAGUCGAGUGACACUGCGCCGAAAAUGUACCGGGGCUAAACAUAUUACCGAAGCUGUGGAUUGUCCUUUGGACAAUGGUAGGAGAGCGUUCUAAGGGCGUUGAAGCAUGAUCGUAAGGACAUGUGGAGCGCUUAGAAGUGAGAAUGCCGGUGUGAGUAGCGAAAGACGGGUGAGAAUCCCGUCCACCGAUUGACUAAGGUUUCCAGAGGAAGGCUCGUCCGCUCUGGGUUAGUCGGGUCCUAAGCUGAGGCCGACAGGCGUAGGCGAUGGAUAACAGGUUGAUAUUCCUGUACCACCUAUAAUCGUUUUAAUCGAUGGGGGGACGCAGUAGGAUAGGCGAAGCGUGCGAUUGGAUUGCACGUCUAAGCAGUAAGGCUGAGUAUUAGGCAAAUCCGGUACUCGUUAAGGCUGAGCUGUGAUGGGGAGAAGACAUUGUGUCUUCGAGUCGUUGAUUUCACACUGCCGAGAAAAGCCUCUAGAUAGAAAAUAGGUGCCCGUACCGCAAACCGACACAGGUAGUCAAGAUGAGAAUUCUAAGGUGAGCGAGCGAACUCUCGUUAAGGAACUCGGCAAAAUGACCCCGUAACUUCGGGAGAAGGGGUGCUCUUUAGGGUUAACGCCCAGAAGAGCCGCAGUGAAUAGGCCCAAGCGACUGUUUAUCAAAAACACAGGUCUCUGCUAAACCGUAAGGUGAUGUAUAGGGGCUGACGCCUGCCCGGUGCUGGAAGGUUAAGAGGAGUGGUUAGCUUCUGCGAAGCUACGAAUCGAAGCCCCAGUAAACGGCGGCCGUAACUAUAACGGUCCUAAGGUAGCGAAAUUCCUUGUCGGGUAAGUUCCGACCCGCACGAAAGGCGUAACGAUUUGGGCACUGUCUCAACGAGAGACUCGGUGAAAUCAUAGUACCUGUGAAGAUGCAGGUUACCCGCGACAGGACGGAAAGACCCCGUGGAGCUUUACUGUAGCCUGAUAUUGAAAUUCGGCACAGCUUGUACAGGAUAGGUAGGAGCCUUUGAAACGUGAGCGCUAGCUUACGUGGAGGCGCUGGUGGGAUACUACCCUAGCUGUGUUGGCUUUCUAACCCGCACCACUUAUCGUGGUGGGAGACAGUGUCAGGCGGGCAGUUUGACUGGGGCGGUCGCCUCCUAAAAGGUAACGGAGGCGCUCAAAGGUUCCCUCAGAAUGGUUGGAAAUCAUUCAUAGAGUGUAAAGGCAUAAGGGAGCUUGACUGCGAGACCUACAAGUCGAGCAGGGUCGAAAGACGGACUUAGUGAUCCGGUGGUUCCGCAUGGAAGGGCCAUCGCUCAACGGAUAAAAGCUACCCCGGGGAUAACAGGCUUAUCUCCCCCAAGAGUUCACAUCGACGGGGAGGUUUGGCACCUCGAUGUCGGCUCAUCGCAUCCUGGGGCUGUAGUCGGUCCCAAGGGUUGGGCUGUUCGCCCAUUAAAGCGGUACGCGAGCUGGGUUCAGAACGUCGUGAGACAGUUCGGUCCCUAUCCGUCGUGGGCGUAGGAAAUUUGAGAGGAGCUGUCCUUAGUACGAGAGGACCGGGAUGGACAUACCUCUGGUGUACCAGUUGUCGUGCCAACGGCAUAGCUGGGUAGCUAUGUGUGGACGGGAUAAGUGCUGAAAGCAUCUAAGCAUGAAGCCCCCCUCAAGAUGAGAUUUCCCAACUUCGGUUAUAAGAUCCCUCAAAGAUGAUGAGGUUAAUAGGUUCGAGGUGGAAGCAUGGUGACAUGUGGAGCUGACGAAUACUAA
This 1952-nucleotide ribosomal RNA is filed under the name Staphylococcus aureus. RNAcentral's name for it is "partial 23S ribosomal RNA". It matches the Rfam family "Bacterial large subunit ribosomal RNA", at positions 949 to 2904 of the family's 2925-position model. The record is from RNAcentral. Lineage: Bacteria; Bacillati; Bacillota; Bacilli; Caryophanales; Staphylococcaceae.